GAUGCUAUGUCAUAUGUUAGGCAUUAUGGCCGCCCAGACUUAUUUGUUACAUUCACAUGUAACCCAAAAUGGUCCGAAAUCAAGAAGGAAUUACUACAUAGCCAAACACCAGUUGAUAGACAUGACAUAACCGCCAGAGUUUUUAAACAAAAAUUAAAAUCUCUCAUGAAUUUUUUAAUAAAGCAUUGUGUGUAUGGCCGAGUCCGUUGUUGGAUGUACUCUGUAGAAUGGCAAAAGCGUGGAUUGCCACAUGCGCACAUUUUAGUCUGAUGAAAUAGUUGACCCAAAAUUGCAUGCAGUAGUUA
Drosophila kikkawai is the source of this 305-nucleotide non-coding RNA. The record is from RefSeq and is a predicted model, not a curated record. NCBI's taxonomy places the organism in Eukaryota, Metazoa, Arthropoda, Insecta, Diptera, Drosophilidae.